This 406-nucleotide ribosomal RNA is filed under the name uncultured bacterium. RNAcentral's name for it is "partial 16S ribosomal RNA". It matches the Rfam family "Bacterial small subunit ribosomal RNA", at positions 28 to 526 of the family's 1533-position model. The record is from RNAcentral.
GAUGAACGCUAGCUACAGGCUUAACACAUGCAAGUCGAGGGACCGGCGCACGGGUGAGUAACACGUAUCCAACCUGCCCUUCACUCGGGGAUAGCCUUUCGAAAGCAAGAUUAAUACCCGAUAUAAAGGAUGGGGAUGCGUUCCAUUAGGUUGUUGGUGAGGUAACGGCCCACCAAGCCUUCGAUGGAUAGGGGUUCGGAGAGGAAGGUCCCCCGCAUUGGAUAUAAGGCACGGACCAAAACGCUACGGGGGACUGCGGAGAUGUAUAUUGGUCAAUAGAGUGUAGCCUGAACAAGCCAAGUAGCGGGAAGUAGUAUGGCUUAUGAGUCGUAAACUUCUUUGAUAUAAGAAUAUGUAUUAUAUGAAUAAGUAUCGGCUAACUCCGUGCCAGCAGCCGCGGUAAUUC